Molecule: unclassified non-coding RNA, 253 nt
Filed under: uncultured Gemmatimonadota bacterium
Lineage: Bacteria; Pseudomonadati; Gemmatimonadota
Description: uncultured Gemmatimonadetes bacterium contains 16S-23S intergenic spacer region
Rfam family: Bacterial small subunit ribosomal RNA
Source: RNAcentral
GACGGAGGGCGCGAGCGUUGUUCGGAAUUACUGGGCGUAAAGCGCGCGCAGGCGGAUGGGCAAGUCGGAAGUGAAAGCCCGGGGCUCAACCCCGGGACGGCUCCCGAUACUGCUCGUCUAGGGACCGGUAGAGGCCGGUGGAAUUGCUGGUGUAGCGGUGGAAUGCGUAGAGAUCAGCAAGAACACCCGUGGCGAAGGCGGCCGGCUGGGCCGGAUCCGACGCUGAGGCGCGAAAGCGUGGGGAGCGAACAGG